UUCUCCGACGAUGAGUUCCUCCAUUCAUCUACCAGGCCACCCCAAAAGCUCUCUGGGCCUCAUCACCAGCCGACCUUCUACAACAACCGACUACCCCCGAACUUCUUCCGGGCUUCGUCAGCAUUCGAGCUUCCCCGACAAUAAGAUUUCUACAGUAACCAGACUCCUUCUAAGUUUCUUUGAUGGUUGACCGCCUUUCAGAUCCCGAUCAAGCUCCU
This 218-nucleotide long non-coding RNA is filed under the name Elaeis guineensis (African oil palm). RNAcentral's name for it is "long non-coding RNA (EGUI_LNC023420)". Lineage: Eukaryota; Viridiplantae; Streptophyta; Magnoliopsida; Arecales; Arecaceae. The record is from RNAcentral.